This 490-nucleotide ribosomal RNA is filed under the name uncultured bacterium. Its description in RNAcentral is "partial 16S ribosomal RNA". It matches the Rfam family "Bacterial small subunit ribosomal RNA", at positions 28 to 507 of the family's 1533-position model. The record is from RNAcentral.
GAUGAACGCUAGCUACAGGCUUAACACAUGCAAGUCGAGGGGAAACGACAUUGAAGCUUGCUUCGAUGGUCGUCGACCGGCGCACGGGUGAGUAACGCGUAUCCAACCUGCCUCUGACCAAGGGAUAACCCGUCGAAAGUCGGCCUAAUACCUUAUGCAGUCGUCGGAAGUCAUCUGAUGACGACGAAAGAUUUCAUCGGUGAGAGAUGGGGAUGCGUCUGAUUAGCUUGUUGGCGGGGUAACGGCCCCCAAGGCAACGAUCAGUAGGGGUUCUGAGAGGAAGGUCCCCCACAUUGGAACUGAGACACGGUCCAAACUCCUACGGGAGGCAGCAGUGAGGAAUAUUGGUCAAUGGGCGAGAGCCUGAACCAGCCAAGUAGCGUGCAGGAUGACGGCCCUAUGGGUUGUAAACUGCUUUUAUGCGGGGAUAAAGUGAGGGACGUGUCCUUCAUUGCAGGUACCGCAUGAAUAAGGACCGGCUAAUUCCGUG